AGCUUGGCGUUGGUUGUCCAAGUUUAAGGUGGUAGGCUGAAAUCUUAGGUAAAUCCGGGGUUUCAAGGCCGAGAGCUGAUGACGAGUCGUCUUUUAGAUGACGAAGUGGUUGAUGCCAUGCUUCCAAGAAAAGCUUCUAAGCUUCAGGUAACCAGGAACCGUACCCCAAACCGACACAGGUGGUCGGGUAGAGAAUACCAAGGCGCUUGAGAGAACUCGGGUGAAGGAACUAGGCAAAAUGGCACCGUAACUUCGGGAGAAGGUGCGCCGGCUAGGGUGAAGGAUUUACUCCGUAAGCUCUGGCUGGUCGAAGAUACCAGGCCGCUGCGACUGUUUAUUAAAAACACAGCACUCUGCAAACACGAAAGUGGACGUAUAGGGUGUGACGCCUGCCCGGUGCCGGAAGGUUAAUUGAUGGGGUUAGCGCAAGCGAAGCUCUUGAUCGAAGCCCCGGUAAACGGCGGCCGUAACUAUAACGGUCCUAAGGUAGCGAAAUUCCUUGUCGGGUAAGUUCCGACCUGCACGAAUGGCGUAACGAUGGCGGCGCUGUCUCCACCCGAGACUCAGUGAAAUUGAAAUCGCUGUGAAGAUGCAGUGUAUCCGCGGCUAGACGGAAAGACCCCGUGAACCUUUACUGUAGCUUUGCACUGGACUUUGAGCCUGCUUGUGUAGGAUAGGUGGGAGGCUUUGAAGCGUGGACGCCAGUUCGCGUGGAGCCAUCCUUGAAAUACCACCCUGGCAUGCUUGAGGUUCUAACUCUGGUCCGUGAUCCGGAUCGAGGACAGUGUAUGGUGGGCAGUUUGACUGGGGCGGUCUCCUCCUAAAGAGUAACGGAGGAGUACGAAGGUGCGCUCAGACCGGUCGGAAAUCGGUCGCAGAGUAUAAAGGCAAAAGCGCGCUUGACUGCGAGACAGACACGUCGAGCAGGUACGAAAGUAGGUCUUAGUGAUCCGGUGGUUCUGUAUGGAAGGGCCAUCGCUCAACGGAUAAAAGGUACUCCGGGGAUAACAGGCUGAUACCGCCCAAGAGUUCAUAUCGACGGCGGUGUUUGGCACCUCGAUGUCGGCUCAUCACAUCCUGGGGCUGAAGCCGGUCCCAAGGGUAUGGCUGUUCGCCAUUUAAAGUGGUACGCGAGCUGGGUUUAGAACGUCGUGAGACAGUUCGGUCCCUAUCUGCCGUGGACGUUUGAGAUUUGAGAGGGGCUGCUCCUAGUACGAGAGGACCGGAGUGGACGAACCUCUGGUGUUCCGGUUGUCACGCCAGUGGCAUUGCCGGGUAGCUAUGUUCGGAAAAGAUAACCGCUGAAAGCAUCUAAGCGGGAAACUUGCCUCAAGAUGAGAUCUCACUGGGAACUUGAUUCCCCUGAAGGGCCGUCGAAGACUACGACGUUGAUAGGCUGGGUGUGUAAGCGUUGUGAGGCGUUGAGCUAACCAGUACUAAUUGCCCGUGAGGCUUGACCAU
This 1461-nucleotide ribosomal RNA is filed under the name Pseudomonas aeruginosa. RNAcentral describes it as "partial 23S ribosomal RNA". It matches the Rfam family "Bacterial large subunit ribosomal RNA", at positions 1489 to 2925 of the family's 2925-position model. The record is from RNAcentral. Lineage: Bacteria; Pseudomonadati; Pseudomonadota; Gammaproteobacteria; Pseudomonadales; Pseudomonadaceae.